This 253-nucleotide ribosomal RNA is filed under the name uncultured bacterium. RNAcentral describes it as "partial 16S ribosomal RNA". It matches the Rfam family "Bacterial small subunit ribosomal RNA", at positions 524 to 776 of the family's 1533-position model. The record is from RNAcentral.
UACGUAGGGUGCAGGCGUUAAUCGGAAUUACUGGGCGUAAAGCGUGCGCAGGCGGUUUGCUAAGACAGGUGUGAAAUCCCCGGGCUUAACCUGGGAACUGCGCUUGUUACUGGCAAGCUAGAGUGUGGCAGAGGGGGGUGGAAUUCCAGGUGUAGCAGUGAAAUGCGUAGAGAUCUGGAGGAACACCGAUGGCGAAGGCAGCCCCCUGGGCUAAAACUGACGCUCAUGCACGAAAGCGUGGGGAGCAAACAGG